UCCAGACAGAAAAGAACACAAGAAAAGGGCCAUCCCACAUUUGUUACUUUCUCUAUGUUCUUUCUUAAACUCUUCCUGCAAUAUCAGCCUUUAAUUUAAUGGCUUGCAACAGUAGAAGAUAGUAAAGCAUGCACUGUUGUAAUAUAACACCUGAAUUAAUAAUCAUAAGUUUCAGUAUAUAAUAUUUUCUCCUAGACACUUUAAGCCACUUUGAUAGGAAGAACGAAAGAUGAAGGUAAGUUCAUUAAUUUGUAUAAAAGUUUAAUGUAUGCAAAUCUUCUUUUCAUUAUUCGACUCAAUGAGGCCUAGUUUUUUAAUCCUUCGUAUUCUUUGCAGCUACUGGGUUGGCUGCAUCGUGAAUUCCGGCAGAACAAUGGUGAAACAAUACUGAAAGAUUUUUCUAAUGGUGAGUUUUGUACACAAAUCAGAUAGACAAUAAAUCAUAGAACAAGCGUGGAGCGUAUAUUGGAAAUUUACCUGAAUCCAAAAAUAAAAUAGCCAAUUCUUGAAUACAAGAGGGAGACACUGUUAAUUUGAUAAGGUCUAGUGCCAAGAUUAUUAUCUUAUACAUCUUUCUCUUACAGGGAAGCCACCAUCCAAUAGCAAAGCACAAAGAGAAAACUGUUUCAGAAACUCAUUUGCCAGUUUAGAGGCAGCAAGAAUGGAAGUAGAGGAGUUUGAAGAAGAAUCAUCUGCUGCUCUUACCGAACUUUUCCAUGGAUUCCUUGCUAUUGGUACCUUAGGUAUCAUUAAACCGCCUGAUAUAAAANN
This 771-nucleotide long non-coding RNA is filed under the name Olea europaea (common olive). RNAcentral's name for it is "long non-coding RNA (OEUR_LNC009571)". The record is from RNAcentral. Lineage: Eukaryota; Viridiplantae; Streptophyta; Magnoliopsida; Lamiales; Oleaceae.